This is a long non-coding RNA of Gallus gallus (chicken), 399 nucleotides long. Lineage: Eukaryota; Metazoa; Chordata; Aves; Galliformes; Phasianidae. The record is from Ensembl.
CAGACUUUCCAGCAAGUCAGUCAGAUUUGCUGUUGCUCUGAUUUGAAUGGAUAACCUUUAAGAGAUGUGAGCAAUUUCUGGUUCAUCUUUGUUGUUUACAAAGCGAGGAGAAAAGGAAGGAUGCAGAGUAGGUUUGGAUGCAGUAUUGGAAGAUGCUUACUUAGACUCUACAAGAAAAGCAAGAAAAAUGGUCUCAGAGAUAGCACAUCCGUGGCGCAAAGCUUUGGAGGGGCCUUUCACGGCGAAACACCAUGAGCAUUGACCUGAGACGCAGCUUUCUGCUCCGCAGCCCGAGUCCUCUAGAACUCCGGCUUGCCUGCUCCCAGGAGAGGGCAGUGGAGCCGCACACGCUCCGUGCCGCGGCCGGCGGGCCGCUCCGUCCCCGCGGGGCUGUGCGAG